Molecule: unclassified non-coding RNA, 147 nt
Filed under: uncultured Pseudocercospora
Lineage: Eukaryota; Fungi; Ascomycota; Dothideomycetes; Mycosphaerellales; Mycosphaerellaceae
Description: sequence contains ITS1
Source: RNAcentral
CCGAGUGAGGGCUCACGCCCGACCUCCAACCCUUUGUGAACCCAUCUUGUUGCUUCGGGGGCGACCCUGCCGGCACUCGGUCGCCGGGCGCCCCCGAAGGUCUCCCAACACUGCAUCUUUGCGUCGGAGUUUAAAACAAAUGAAACA